Long non-coding RNA from Fukomys damarensis (Damara mole-rat), 647 nucleotides. RefSeq lists it as uncharacterized. Lineage: Eukaryota; Metazoa; Chordata; Mammalia; Rodentia; Bathyergidae. The transcript has 3 exons. The record is from RefSeq and is a predicted model, not a curated record.
CCCUUUCACCAGAGCGGCUGCCAGUCCCAGGAGUCCCCCGGGAGUCAAAAGGUGGAGCGGCUCCUCGGAACCAGUGUUUCCGGAUGCUGCCCUGGCUCCUGCACAUGAAAGCCUGGUGUGUGGAUGCCCUGGCCUGGGUAUCCUGUGACCACCAGCACUCCUCUUCAUCCUUGCUUCUCCCCGUUUGCUGGCUCAGAGGAGGGAAGAGGAAGGAGAGACCAGCUCCCAAGGAUCCUUAGGGAGCCUCCACCCUGGCCCAGACUGCCUUGGUUGCCACAGAUUCCCUCUCAGUGAGAUGACCUUUCCUCUUCCUGAGGGGCAGGGGCAUGUGUGCCUCCAGGGUCCUCAGUCUCCACCUGCCGUCAUGUGUCUCCCUCCAGCACUCCUGGAGCCCUGUCCUUGGGAAGUGGUGAAAACUCCUGAUUGGAAGUUCUUAAUAGUGUUGCCAUGAAAAUGAAAAUCUGGACUUUUCUAGACUUCUUGUGAGAUGUUAGCAGAUCCAUGGCAUCUGUUACAGUUAGGGAUUGCCCUUUUGAAGCUCAGCUGAGACCCAAGCCCUGCCACUCUGCCCUCCAUGACUGUUGCCCUCAGGGGAUGUCCAGGCUUCCCAUGGGAAGGGGCUGGCAUCAUCUGGGCCUGCCAAGCUC